RNAcentral lists this ribosomal RNA (1195 nucleotides) under Candidatus Phytoplasma oryzae. RNAcentral's name for it is "bacterial SSU rRNA". It matches the Rfam family "Bacterial small subunit ribosomal RNA", at positions 180 to 1372 of the family's 1533-position model. Lineage: Bacteria; Bacillati; Mycoplasmatota; Mollicutes; Acholeplasmatales; Acholeplasmataceae. The record is from RNAcentral.
GGGAUGGGCCAUCUUUUUAUUUUUAAAAGACCUUUUUCGGAAGGUAUGCUUAAAGAGGGGCUUGCGUCACAUUAGUUAGUUGGCAGGGUAAAGGCCUACCAAGACUAUGAUGUGUAGCUGGACUGAGAGGUUGAACAGCCACAUUGGGACUGAGACACGGCCCAAACUCCUACGGGAGGCAGCAGUAGGGAAUUUUCGGCAAUGGAGGAAACUCUGACCGAGCAACGCCGCGUGAACGAUGAAGUAUUUCGGUAUGUAAAGUUCUUUUAUUGAAGAAGAAAAAAUAGUGGAAAAACUAUCUUGACGAUAUUCAAUGAAUAAGCCCCGGCAAACUAUGUGCCAGCAGCCGCGGUAAUACAUAGGGGGCGAGCGUUAUCCGGAAUUAUUGGGCGUAAAGGGUGCGUAGGCGGUUUAAUAAGUCUAUAGUUUAAUUUCAGUGCUUAACACUGUCCUGCUAUAGAAACUAUUAGACUAGAGUGAGAUAGAGGCAAGUGGAAUUCCAUGUGUAGCGGUAAAAUGCGUAAAUAUAUGGAGGAACACCAGAGGCGUAGGCGGCUUGCUGGGUCUUUACUGACGCUGAGGCACGAAAGCGUGGGGAGCAAACAGGAUUAGAUACCCUGGUAGUCCACGCCGUAAACGAUGAGUACUAAGUGUCGGGAUUACUCGGUACUGAAGUUAACACAUUAAGUACUCCGCCUGAGUAGUACGUACGCAAGUAUGAAACUUAAAGGAAUUGACGGGACUCCGCACAAGCGGUGGAUCAUGUUGUUUAAUUCGAAGAUACACGAAAAACCUUACCAGGUCUUGACAUACUCUGCAAAGCUAUAGCAAUAUAGUGGAGGUUAUCAGGGAUACAGGUGGUGCAUGGUUGUCGUCAGCUCGUGUCGUGAGAUGUUAGGUUAAGUCCUAAAACGAGCGCAACCCUUGUCAUUAGUUGCCAGCAUGUCAUGAUGGGCACUUUAAUGAGACUGCCAAUGAAAAAUUGGAGGAAGGUGAGGAUCACGUCAAAUCAUCAUGCCCCUUAUGAUCUGGGCUACAAACGUGAUACAAUGGCUGUUACAAAGAGUAGCUGAAACGCAAGUUUAUAGCCAAUCUCAUAAAAGCAGUCUCAGUUCGGAUUGAAGUCUGCAACUCGACUUCAUGAAGUUGGAAUCGCUAGUAAUCGCGAAUCAGCAUGUCGCGGAAUAUCAACCUU